GAGUAGUGUGGCAGCUCCAGACAGGACAGGAAGUGAAGGCAGCAGAAUACAGGACGCAGUCAGGUUGCAGGAAGAUUUUGGAGACCAUAGCAGUCCUGUGCAACACUGGAUAUGAGUGUGCAAUAUACCAUCUUAAGGAACCGGCGAGUCAGAAUGUCUGAGAAGAUCAAGUGUGCUUCACCACUGAUGAUGAUGAGCUGGAUACCAGCUUAUGGGCUAAUUUCUUUCAUUCAUUGCCAGAGGACGGGACCAGAUGUGUUUGGAGUUGAAGACAAUGCUGAAGACCAAAGAAGCAACGGAAGAAGAACAUUUAAGCACUGAGGGUGGCCUGUUUGCCAUGACAGAUCCAGCGGCUAGAUGGCGGAAGAUGCUUCAAUACCCAAUUGCACUGAAUCAUUAGAUGAUCAAUUAAUUAAUAUUAAUAUAUAUUUUUAAAUUAUCUUAUUAUAUUAAAUAAUUGGUCUCAGUUUACUAUUUCAUAUAUUAGUUUGAAUAAUAAUGUUUUUAUAAUGUGUACGCCAUGCCUGAGGAGGAUGGGUUCCCCCUGAUGAGUCUGGUUCCUCUCAAGGUUUUUUAUCUCCUUAAGAGUUUUUUCCUUGCCACCGUCGCCACUGGCUUGCUCACUGGGGGUGUUGUGUCAAAUCCUGUGUCCCUCUCGCGUCCCUGCCGACCAGGGUUUCCAAAACAACAGUUUGCGACUCGAUGAAAUUUAUUAAUUAAAUCAUAGAAAUUUAAACGACUAAAAAUGAAAUCAUGUUAUGGCUUAGUCACUUACGGUAAAGCAGUAAGCCCUGUGAUGCUGUGAUUAACAGUGCUUUCAGAACUGCUAAGGGGUGUUGCUGUUUUCUGAAAUCACAGGGCUUAUGUAUGGCCUUAUGCCCUUUAUAAACACUUGUGCAGUAAUAGACGAAAUC
Carassius auratus (goldfish) is the source of this 914-nucleotide long non-coding RNA. RefSeq lists it as uncharacterized. The transcript has 5 exons. NCBI's taxonomy places the organism in Eukaryota, Metazoa, Chordata, Actinopteri, Cypriniformes, Cyprinidae. The record is from RefSeq and is a predicted model, not a curated record.